AUGUAUUCACUACGCCUAUCUUGGUCGCAGUUGAGAGAAGACCCUUUGCCAUCCCUUUCCCAGUUGGUGAAUUUGACAGUUCUUCAUUUCUUUAGAGCAUACAAUGGAGAGAAGCUGACGUUUCUCACGGGAUGGUUUCCCAACCUGAAGCAUCUCUCUCUAAGAGACAUGCCUGACCUGAAGCGGCUAGAGAUAAAGCAAGGUGCCAUGGCGACUCUGGAAUCAUUUACCUUAGGCAGCCUAAACAGCAUGGCGGAGGUCCCACCUGGCCUUGAGUUUCUCAUGCCCCUCCAGUAUCUAGGCUUCUUCCAAAUUACUCACGACUUCCUCAAGUUGUUUUACCAAUGUCCUUAA
This 354-nucleotide ribosomal RNA is filed under the name Triticum aestivum (bread wheat). Its description in RNAcentral is "partial small subunit ribosomal RNA". The record is from RNAcentral. Lineage: Eukaryota; Viridiplantae; Streptophyta; Magnoliopsida; Poales; Poaceae.